AUGAACGCUGGCGGCGUGCCUAAUACAUGCAAGUCGAACGCUUCACUUCGGUGAAGAGUGGCGAACGGGUGAGUAAUACAUAAGUAACCUGGCAUCUACAGGGGGAUAACUGAUGGAAACGUCAGCUAAGACCGCAUAGGUGUAGAGAUCGCAUGAACUCUAUAUGAAAAGUGCUACGGGACUGGUAGAUGAUGGACUUAUGGCGCAUUAGCUUGUUGGUAGGGUAACGGCCUACCAAGGCGACGAUGCGUAGCCGACCUGAGAGGGUGACCGGCCACACUGGGACUGAGACACGGCCCAGACUCCUACGGGAGGCAGCAGUAGGGAAUUUUCGGCAAUGGGGGAAACCCUGACCGAGCAACGCCGCGUGAAGGAAGAAGUAAUUCGUUAUGUAAACUUCUGUCAUAGAGGAAGAACGGUGGAUAUAGGGAAUGAUAUCCAAGUGACGGUACUCUAUAAGAAAGCCACGGCUAACUACGUGCCAGCAGCCGCGGUAAUACGUAGGUGGCGAGCGUUAUCCGGAAUUAUUGGGCGUAAAGAGGGAGCAGGCGGCACUAAGGGUCUGUGGUGAAAGAUCGAAGCUUAACUUCGGUAAGCCAUGGAAACCGUAGAGCUAGAGUGUGUGAGAGGAUCGUGGAAUUCCAUGUGUAGCGGUGAAAUGCGUAGAUAUAUGGAGGAACACCAGUGGCGAAGGCGACGAUCUGGCGCAUAACUGACGCUCAGUCCCGAAAGCGUGGGGAGCAAAUAGGAUUAGAUACCCUAGUAGUCCACGCCGUAAACGAUGAGUACUAAGUGUUGGGUGUCAAAGCUCAGUGCUGCAGUUAACGCAAUAAGUACUCCGCCUGAGU
This 848-nucleotide ribosomal RNA is filed under the name human gut metagenome. RNAcentral's name for it is "bacterial SSU rRNA". It matches the Rfam family "Bacterial small subunit ribosomal RNA", at positions 29 to 878 of the family's 1533-position model. The record is from RNAcentral.